GGAGGGCCAUAGCUCAAUGGUAAAGCAUUCGCCUUGCUUGCAGAAGGUCCUGAGUUCAAUCCCCAGCAUCUCCA
Molecule: non-coding RNA, 74 nt
Organism: Podarcis lilfordi (Lilford's wall lizard)
Lineage: Eukaryota; Metazoa; Chordata; Lepidosauria; Squamata; Lacertidae
Source: the annotation of a GenBank genome assembly